CAGUAGCCACGGUAAUACGUAGGUGGCAAGCGUUGUCCGGAAUUAUUGGGCGUAAAGGGCUCGCAGGCGGUUUCUUAAGUCUGAUGUGAAAGCCCCCGGCUCAACCGGGGAGGGUCAUUGGAAACUGGGAAACUUGAGUGCAGAAGAGGAGAGUGGAAUUCCACGUGCAGCGGUGAAAUGCGUUGAGAUCGGAAAGAACACCAACGGCGAAAGCACUCUGCUGGGCCGACACUGACACUGAGAGACGAAAGCUAGGGGAGCAAAUGGGAUUAGAUACCCCUGUAGUCCCUGUCUCUUAUAC
This 301-nucleotide ribosomal RNA is filed under the name uncultured bacterium. RNAcentral's name for it is "partial 16S ribosomal RNA". It matches the Rfam family "Bacterial small subunit ribosomal RNA", at positions 509 to 807 of the family's 1533-position model. The record is from RNAcentral.